AGGCUAUAUUGAACCUGCGAUGGUGCUCUGCAUGAACCUGUGAUAGUGAGUUAUAUGUGGAGUGUGCACUGUACAAUGAUGGAGCACCAUUUGGCCUUCCCACAAGAACAAGAUUCUACAAUUAGAGAAAAGGCUACAAGACUAAUUUCAAGUCAGAUGCACAUUAGAAAUGGCACUUGGAUACAACCUAUGUCUCUUGUUAAUCACUUGGAUACCGAGGCCCCAGUGUGACAACUCACUAGAUUAGAAUUUAACAUGAUUGAGAUCUUUCAUGACAAACAAAUGGUGCGUAUUUUGGUGGCUAGCGCAAGUGUUAAGACAUCAGCCUUUAGUUAGCAUUUUUUUUUUUCUAUUUCAUGU
This is a long non-coding RNA of Gastrolobium bilobum, 360 nucleotides long. RefSeq lists it as uncharacterized. Lineage: Eukaryota; Viridiplantae; Streptophyta; Magnoliopsida; Fabales; Fabaceae. The transcript has 3 exons. The record is from RefSeq and is a predicted model, not a curated record.